GACGAACGCUGGCGGCGUGCUUAACACAUGCAAGUCGAACGGAAAGGCCCUGCUUUUGUGGGGUGCUCGAGUGGCGAACGGGUGAGUAACACGUGAGUAACCUGCCCUUGACUUUGGGAUAACUUCAGGAAAAUGGGGCGAAUACCGGAUAGGAGCUCCUGCUGCAUGGUGGGGGUUGGAAAGUUUCGGCGGUGGGGGAUGGACUCGCGGCUUAUCAGCUUGUUGGUGGGGUAGUGGCUUACCAAGGCUUUGACGGGUAGCCGGCCUGAGAGGGUGACCGGCCACCUUGGGACUGAGAGACGGCCCAGACUCCUACGGGAGGCAGCGGGGGGGAAUAUUGCACAAUGGGCGGAAGCCUGAUGCAGCAACGCCGCGUGCGGGAUAACGGCCUUCGGGUUGUAAACCGCUUUCGCCGGUGACGAAGCGUGAGUGACGGUAAUGGGUAAAGAAGCACCGGCUAACUACGUG
RNAcentral lists this ribosomal RNA (468 nucleotides) under uncultured bacterium. RNAcentral's name for it is "partial 16S ribosomal RNA". It matches the Rfam family "Bacterial small subunit ribosomal RNA", at positions 28 to 507 of the family's 1533-position model. The record is from RNAcentral.